Molecule: transfer RNA, 69 nt
Filed under: Lamproptera curius
Lineage: Eukaryota; Metazoa; Arthropoda; Insecta; Lepidoptera; Papilionidae
Description: tRNA-Met
Source: RNAcentral
UUAAAAAUAAGCUAAAUUAAGCUUUUGGGCUCAUACCUCAAAUAUAUAGGAAAAACCCUUUUUUUAAAA